RNAcentral lists this ribosomal RNA (466 nucleotides) under uncultured bacterium. RNAcentral describes it as "partial 16S ribosomal RNA". It matches the Rfam family "Bacterial small subunit ribosomal RNA", at positions 29 to 506 of the family's 1533-position model. The record is from RNAcentral.
ACGAACGCUGGCGGCGUGCUUAACACAUGCAAGUCGAACGGUGAAGCUCCAGCUUGCUGGAGUGGAUCAGUGGCGAACGGGUGAGUAACACGUGAGCAACCUGCCCCUGACUCUGGAAUAAGCGCUGGAAACGGCGUCUAAUACUGGAUACGAGAAGGGUCCGCAUGGGCACUUUCUGGAAAGUUUUUCGGUUGGGGAUGGGCUCGCGGCCUAUCAGCUUGUUGGUGAGGUAAUGGCUCACCAAGGCGACGACGGGUAGCCGGCCUGAGAGGGCGACCGGCCACACUGGGACUGAGACACGGCCCAGACUCCUACGGGAGGCAGCAGUGGGGAAUAUUGCACAAUGGGCGAAAGCCUGAUGCAGCGACGCCGCGUGAGGGAUGACGGCCUUCGGGUUGUAAACCUCUUUCAGCAGGGAAGAAGCGAAAGUGACGGUACCUGCAGAAGAAGCACCGGCUAACUACGU